GGCCCCAUCGUCUAACGGUUAGGACAUUGCCCUUUCAAGGCGAAAAUCCGGGUUCGAUUCCCGGUGGGGUCACCA
This 75-nucleotide transfer RNA is filed under the name Patescibacteria group bacterium. Its description in RNAcentral is "tRNA-Glu". It matches the Rfam family "tRNA". From Rfam's summary of the family: Transfer RNA (tRNA) molecules are approximately 80 nucleotides in length. Their secondary structure includes four short double-helical elements and three loops (D, anti-codon, and T loops). The record is from RNAcentral.